This 618-nucleotide ribosomal RNA is filed under the name uncultured Alphaproteobacteria bacterium. RNAcentral's name for it is "bacterial SSU rRNA". It matches the Rfam family "Bacterial small subunit ribosomal RNA", at positions 28 to 692 of the family's 1533-position model. Lineage: Bacteria; Pseudomonadati; Pseudomonadota; Alphaproteobacteria. The record is from RNAcentral.
AACGAACGCUGGCGGCAGGCCUAAUACAUGCAAGUCGAGCGCGCCCUUCGGGGUGAGCGGCGGACGGGUGAGUAACGCGUGGGAAUAUGCCCUUCUCUAAGGAAUAGCCUCUGGAAACGGAGAGUAAUACCUUAUACGCCCUUUGGGGGAAAGAUUUAUCGGAGAAGGAUUAGCCCGCGUUAGAUUAGGUAGUUGGUGGGGUAAUGGCCUACCAAGCCUACGAUCUAUAGCUGGUUUGAGAGGAUGAUCAGCCACACUGGGACUGAGACACGGCCCAGACUCCUACGGGAGGCAGCAGUAGGGAAUCUUAGACAAUGGGGGCAACCCUGAUCUAGCCAUGCCGCGUGUGUGAUGAAGGCCCUAGGGUCGUAAAGCACUUUCGCCAGAGAUGAUAAUGACAGUAUCCGGUAAAGAAACCCCGGCUAACUCCGUGCCAGCAGCCGCGGUAAUACGGAGGGGGUUAGCGUUGUUCGGAAUUACUGGGCGUAAAGCGCACGUAGGCGGAUUAGUAAGUUAGAGGUGAAAUCCCAGGGCUCAACCCUGGAACUGCCUUUAAUACUGCUAGUCUUGAGUUCGAGAGAGGUAAGUGGAAUUCCGAGUGUAGAGGUAAAAUUCGUA